UGGGAAUUUUGGACAAUGGGCGCAAGCCUGAUCCAGCAAUGCCGCGUGCAGGAUGAAGGCCUUCGGGUUGUAAACUGCUUUUGUACGGAGCGAAAAGGUCUGCCCUAAUACGGUGGGCUCAUGACGGUACCGUAAGAAUAAGCACCGGCUAACUACGUGCCAGCAGCCGCGGUAAUACGUAGGGUGCGAGCGUUAAUCGGAAUUACUGGGCGUAAAGCGUGCGCAGGCGGUGAUGUAAGACAGAUGUGUAAUCCCCGGGCUCAACCUGGGAACUGCGUUUGUGACUGCAUCACUCGAGUACGGCAGAGGGAGGUGGAAUUCCGCGUGUAGCAGUGAAAUGCGUAGAUAUGCGGAGGAACACCGAUGGCGAAGGCAAUCCCCUGGGCCUGCACUGACGCUCAUGCACGAAAGCGUGGGGAGCAAACA
Molecule: ribosomal RNA, 426 nt
Filed under: uncultured bacterium
Lineage: Bacteria
Description: bacterial SSU rRNA
Rfam family: Bacterial small subunit ribosomal RNA
Source: RNAcentral